This 274-nucleotide long non-coding RNA is filed under the name Elaeis guineensis (African oil palm). Its description in RNAcentral is "long non-coding RNA (EGUI_LNC019879)". Lineage: Eukaryota; Viridiplantae; Streptophyta; Magnoliopsida; Arecales; Arecaceae. The record is from RNAcentral.
GACAAGACCUCUGGAAGGAGCCCUUUACCCAAUAGCUUUCUUCUCAAGGAGUUAGCCCAUCAUCUACUUGCACCAUCAAUCUCUUCACCAGUAAAAACAAUAGAAUCUGUGAAUCUCUAUUGCGGAUGGAUAAUCUCAUGCUCAGAAACUUCUUAUCUUAUAUCUUCUUCUACCUUAAAGAACAUUAGCCUAGGAUCUAUCCUAUUUGUCUUGAGAUUGCUCCUUGCGUUGUUUAUGGUUGCAGUCCACAACGCCACUACUUUUAGGUCCCCCU